GAUGAACGCUGACAGAAUGCUUAACACAUGCAAGUCAACUUGAACUUCGGUUUGGGUGGCGGACGGGUGAGUAACGCGUAAAGAACUUGCCUCACAGCUAGGGACAACAUUUGGAAACGAAUGCUAAUACCUGAUAUUAUGAUUUUAGGACAUCCUAGAAUUAUGAAAGCUAUAUGCGCUGUGAGAGAGCUUUGCGUCCCAUUAGCUAGUUGGAGAGGUAACGGCUCACCAAGGCGAUGAUGGGUAGCCGGCCUGAGAGGGUGAACGGCCACAAGGGGACUGAGACACGGCCCUUACUCCUACGGGAGGCAGCAGUGGGGAAUAUUGGACAAUGGACCAAGAGUCUGAUCCAGCAAUUCUGUGUGCACGAUGAAGUUUUUCGGAAUGUAAAGUGCUUUCAGUUGGGAAGAAAAAAAUGACGGUACCAACAGAAGAAGAGACGGCUAAAUACGUG
This 454-nucleotide ribosomal RNA is filed under the name uncultured bacterium. Its description in RNAcentral is "partial 16S ribosomal RNA". It matches the Rfam family "Bacterial small subunit ribosomal RNA", at positions 28 to 507 of the family's 1533-position model. The record is from RNAcentral.